UACAGAGGGUGCAAGCGUUAAUCGGAAUGACUGGGCGUAAAGGGUGCGUAGGUGGCUUUUUAAGUUAGAUGUGAAAUCCCUGGGCUUAACCUAGGAACUGCAUUUAAUACUGGGAAGCUAGAGUAUGGGAGAGGUAAGUGGAAUUUCCGGUGUAGCGGUGAAAUGCGUAGAUAUCGGAAGGAACACCAGUGGCGAAGGCGGCUUACUGGCCUAAUACUGACACUGAGGCACGAAAGCGUGGGGAGCAAACAGG
Molecule: ribosomal RNA, 253 nt
Filed under: uncultured bacterium
Lineage: Bacteria
Description: partial 16S ribosomal RNA
Rfam family: Bacterial small subunit ribosomal RNA
Source: RNAcentral